Molecule: non-coding RNA, 1105 nt
Organism: Brienomyrus brachyistius
Lineage: Eukaryota; Metazoa; Chordata; Actinopteri; Osteoglossiformes; Mormyridae
Source: the annotation of a RefSeq genome assembly
UUAAUAUACACUUCAGCUUCGUAAUUACUGUAAAUUACAACAUUUUUCGUUCCAUCGUGAAGAUCCAUUACUUCAGUAAGAACAAGGAUCAAAAGUUUCAUCAAAGUUUGGCGUGAGAUUACAUCUGUUACGGGCGAAACGCGUCUCACUGUCAAUGCGUCAGACUUGGUAGCCCUUAUAAAUAUAUGAAUUGGAUGGGUCAAUGCAACAUAUACAUAUUUAAACCAUUUAUUUUAUAUCCACUUAGGUCAAAUAUCAUAUAGGUUGUAACUUGUUAGCCUGAUUGUUAGUAAUAUAAUAGUCGUAGGGUUUAAUGCUAUAGAUUUUAUUAGAUUGUAUAGAUAUCGAACAGCAUUUGCUUUACCAACAUAUUUUAUCUGCAAGUGACAGAAAAUACUAUUUUUUGACUCAUUAGUUUUAUACCCAUAAACAAAUGUUAGGUAGGAGUAUAUACUUAAAGCGGUUUGUUAGUUUCUGCUGUGAGGUUUUUGUACGGCGGCUGAUGCGCCGUGAAUCACUGUGGUUAACUUUCGGCGGCGGUACCAGACUGGAUGUUGGAAGUAACAGAACCCCCACCCUGACGGUCCUGCCCCCCUCCAGUGUGGAGGUGUCCAGCAAGAACACGGCCACCCUGAUGUGCCUGGCCAACAGGGGCUUCCCCUCCGACUGGAAGCUGAGCUGGAAGGUGGACGGUAAAAGCAAAGUGGCGGAGACGAGCCGCGGGCUCCUGGAGAAGGACGGCCUGUACAGCUGGAGCAGCAGCCUGAGCCUCACUGCGGACGAGUGGAAGAAGGCGGGCUCAGUGGUCUGUGAGGCCAAUCAGGGCUCCCAGGCUGCUGUCACUCAAACGCUGACGAGGGCCGACUGUUCAGAGUAGAUGAGCUCAGCGCCACCUGUGAUGAGCGGCUGAUUACUGUGUUUUUACUGUCUUGUGCUAUUCGCUUCUGAUUUACUGAUUACAUAGAGAAAAUAACGUGCUUUGCUUGAUUCCUGAGUGAAAAUCAUUACUGAUGUUUUAUUAGUCUUUGUGUCUCCCUGUAUUAUCUUUUGUGUUUUGUACCUGAAUGCUGCAGAGAUAAAUAAAUAUUUCAUUCUGUCUGACAAA